GCAGAUUCCCUGCUGAGUAGGGGGCCUGUUGCAGGGCUCGAUUCUAGGACCUGGGAUCACGACCUGAGCUGUAGUCAGAUGCUUAACCCUCUGAGCCACCCAGGUACCCCUAGCACAAUUUCUAAUACAAAGUAGGAGCUCCAUAAAUAUUUGUCCAGUGAGCAACUUGUCACGUACUAAAUCAUACUUCAGGAACUGUUUUGUUGGGUCUAAUUCUGUCUCCACAUUGAGACAGUCAUCAGAUAACCAAUUUGCAGCUCCUUGGUGCAUUAUGGCCCCAUUAUUCAGGCAGGCUCUGCUAAAUUCAUUAUAAUAUGAAUAAUGCUACUUUUAUUUUUCAAUUUUUUUAUGUUUGGAGAUGUUACAGCAUCCAGUGCCUACAGUUUGUGAUCUAUACAGACAUUUUCUGAUCUUUUACAAAGCUUGAGAACUAAGCUUUGACAUGUGUAAUGCUACUUUAAAUUUUUCGUUGGCAUGCUAUAAAUAGUGCCUAGUAAAGGUGAAGUAGCCUUCCUUUCAGACUUGAGUUUUGUAACUUGCAGUGUGAACUAUCCAGGAGGGUCACUAGAUGCUCUAAAAUUUAAUGCAAAAUAUUAUAUGUAUAGACAUUUUUCUGGAAAGAGAACCCAUAAUUUCUAUUAUGUUAGGAAAGGGAUAAAUGACUCCAAAAAAUUUAAACAGUGCAAUAAUACCUUACAUUUUACAUUGUGCCAUAAUCAUAAAUCAAAAGCUCUUUACAUACAUUAUUGCCUAAGCACUCUGAAACAAAAAGGGAAAGCUUCUAUUCUAGAUUUGAAUACAUAAAAAAAAACACCAAUUUAGCUACAUGGAGUAGAACUGGAAUUAAAAGGAAAAUUGGCCCAUAUCCAAAAGUGGGCUAGGUAAAUUCUACACAGAAUUCUUAAGAAUUUCAGACUAGUAUUAUUACAUAUUUUCUGAAAAAUAAAUUUUAAUGUUCAAAUUACUGUAUAGACUGUCAGAAAAAUAAAUCCAGAGAUUAUAUAAGUACUAUUUUGAUUAUUGGAAAAUACUAUUAUAAGUUCAGUUCACUUGUUUCUUGGUUACUGAAAUAUAAUUCAAAAUGAGAAGCAAUGGAGCAGGAGCCAAUUUCAGAGGGAUCCUAAUCUUUAUUUCUUUCAGUGCAUGGUUCAGGUUUUCCAUUAAUAAAAAUGUGUGGUGUUUUAAUAUGUACAACAGACUAGAAUAUCAUAAAUGUGAAAUGAGGUUAAUUUUAUUGAACUUGCUAACUUGCUUAGUCUAGGUGAAAAUGAAGUUCCUGACAUAAGACUAGAAUAUACCUGAACCGUGGAUGAAAAAGAAGUCAGUCAGUUCAAUGAAGGGGUAUUAAAGUAUGGAAAGGAGUCUUUGAGGGAAUGAGGUGGAGGAGCAAAGGGCCUCAUUCAGAUUUUCCAAAUAAUCCCGUCACCAAAUAAGAAAGCAUUCAUCUAUUCCUCUUUGGAAUAUUAAGGAAUAUGUUAAAGACGUUUGGUUUGCCUUGAUAAAUUUGGUGCUUUGGAGCUCUGAAACAUCUUUUGGCAUAUCAACUUGCAGUCCACCUGCAAGUUUAGUUUUAUUAACUUGGGGAAUGAGAAAAUGUGGAGGGAAAAUUUGUGGUAGAAUAUAGGAGGGGGACAGAGCUGAGACUCAGAAGCCUGAAAAAUCUGUCUUGCUUCAGUAAUAUAAUCUAGUCUCCUUUGUCAGUAGGCCGAAGCACAUUACUGAGUAUCAUCACAGAAAUGAAUUUCUGAAGAAAAGUACUGUAAUCAAAGCCUUUUAAUGAGAAAAAAGCCAGCCAAACCAGUCUAAGUCACCCCGAGGUUCUCAGCUCCUAUGAGGAAGUACUUUAAUGAGUGAUCAACUAUUGUUGUCAAAAGAGAUGGCUACAGAGAGUGCCUGGAUUCAUCUGCAUUAAAACCCCUGGAGAAUUUUUAUAGGUUGAAC
Ailuropoda melanoleuca (giant panda) is the source of this 1941-nucleotide long non-coding RNA. RefSeq lists it as uncharacterized. The record is from RefSeq and is a predicted model, not a curated record. The transcript has 3 exons. Lineage: Eukaryota; Metazoa; Chordata; Mammalia; Carnivora; Ursidae.